GACAGAGGGGGCGAGCGUUGUCCGGACUCACUGGGCGUAAAGCGUGCGUAGGGGGUGCGAUGCGUCGGCGCUGAAAGCGCCCGGCUUAACCGGGCGACGGGCGACGAUACGAUCGCACUGGAGGCAGGGAGACGUUGGUGGAAUUCCGGGUGUAGUGGUGAAAUGCGUAGAGAUCCGGAGGAAUGCCGGUGGCGUAAGCGGCCAACGAGUCCUGACCUGGCACUGAGGCACGAAAGCGUGGGGAGCAAACCGG
Molecule: ribosomal RNA, 253 nt
Filed under: uncultured bacterium
Lineage: Bacteria
Description: partial 16S ribosomal RNA
Rfam family: Bacterial small subunit ribosomal RNA
Source: RNAcentral